RNAcentral lists this transfer RNA (21 nucleotides) under Hipposcarus longiceps (Pacific longnose parrotfish). RNAcentral describes it as "partial tRNA-Phe". The record is from RNAcentral. Lineage: Eukaryota; Metazoa; Chordata; Actinopteri; Labriformes; Labridae.
CCCUUAAAAGUCCCAGCGGCA